GCCUCCGUAGCUCAGGUGGAUAGAGCAGCAGUUUCCUAAACUGUUGGCCGGCGGUUCGAGUCCGCCCGGGGGCA
RNAcentral lists this transfer RNA (74 nucleotides) under Gemmatimonadaceae bacterium. RNAcentral describes it as "tRNA-Arg". It matches the Rfam family "tRNA". Rfam says of the family: Transfer RNA (tRNA) molecules are approximately 80 nucleotides in length. Their secondary structure includes four short double-helical elements and three loops (D, anti-codon, and T loops). Further hydrogen bonds mediate the characteristic L-shaped molecular structure. tRNAs have two regions of fundamental functional importance: the anti-codon, which is responsible for specific mRNA codon recognition, and the 3' end, to which the tRNAs corresponding amino acid is attached (by aminoacyl-tRNA synthetases). tRNAs cope with the degeneracy of the genetic code in two manners: having more than one tRNA (with a specific anti-codon) for a particular amino acid; and 'wobble' base-pairing, i.e. permitting non-standard base-pairing at the 3rd anti-codon position. Lineage: Bacteria; Pseudomonadati; Gemmatimonadota; Gemmatimonadia; Gemmatimonadales; Gemmatimonadaceae. The record is from RNAcentral.